AUGCCCGACCUAAAGAUCCGUGCCCACCGAUCGACCUUAAAAGCACGGCCUCCGUUAGGGUUUGGAGAGAUGCAGCAGUGCCACGGAAAGGACAAGGCGGCUACCAGCGCGAUGCCGAACCACUCAAAGGGCACGGCAGCUGCGAGCGCGAUGCCGUACCACGUCAAGGACAAGGCGGCUACGAUCGCCAUGCAGCCGAAGCAGGUCUUUGCAGACGAGAACAUCGUGCAGGAGCCCUUAGCACAUCCUGAUCGAAUCCGACAAAGGGGGUUGAACAGGUUGCCGUCGCUUCGUGGAAAGGAGAUGGCAGACACACGCUCAAGCUCUCUGUUGUCACGGAAGCACCUUGGAAAGGAGAGAUCGCCGUCGCUGUCGCACAAGCUAAAGGAGAAGGUGGAUACAGGCUUGAUUCCACACAUGCAUAAUGCAAAGGUGAAGAUGUGCCCCUCUGAUCAGUUCCGCCAUCAUAUACAGGGUAUCCAGCGGCCUGUCAAGACUGAAUCACGUCUUGCCAGAGAGAUGUCUCAGAAGCGAAGGGAGAAGGUGGAUACAGGUCCGGUUCCACGGAAGCAUGGUGCAAUGGAGAAGACGUGCGUUUCUGAUCAGGAUAUGUGGCCUUUCAAGACUGAAGCAUGUCUUGCCGGAGAGAUGUCUCAGAAACGAAUGGAGAAGGUGGAUACAGGCUCGAAUCCACAGAAGCAUCAUGCAAUGGAGAAGACGUGCACUUCUGAUCAGGAUAUGUGGCCUUUCAAGACUGAAGCAUGUCUUGCCGGAGAGAUGUCUCAGAAGCGAAUGGAGAAGGUGGAUACAGGCUCGAAUCCGCAGAAGCAUAAUGCAAAGGAGAAGAAUCAGGAUAUGUGGCCUUUCAAGACUGAAGCAUGUCUUGCCAGAGAGAUGUCUCAGAGGCGAAUGGAGAAGGUGGAUACAGGCUCGAAUCAACAGAAGCAUAGUGCAGAGAAGAAGACGUGCCCCCCUGAUCAGCUCUGCCCACAUACACAUGGUAUCCAGCGAAAAGAGCGUCUUUCUGUAGAGAAGAAGCACACAAAAAGCAAUACAUCUUUUCCAGCGAAAAGAACAUCUCCACAACUCAGAACAAGAACAAGUUACCGCUGUUCCGAUGCGGGUACCGGUCGUCCCAUCGAUGCUCAUGACCAUGGCAACACUGGUGCUAUCCAGGAACAGAAACAAGUAUAUGCCGCAACACAGGUAGAUGAAGAUGUGGGCGACAUAAUCCAGAAGCUGAACGAACUGGGCUUGGGAGAGGACAUCGAGUUUGAGGAAUACUAUGGAUACUUGCAGCAGCUGCCUCCCGACCCCCGUGUUGAUACCUACACUGAAUUGAACCUUGAGGAUUACUUUAACAUGGACCUCCGCCAUGCGGUGUAUCGCAUCAGAUCCUACAAGUUGUUAAAAAAGGAGUCCAAUAAUGAGUUGUGCUGUGAUGAACUGAAAGAGUGCCCUAUGGAGCUUCUUGACAGAGAAGAAUUUCCUACAGAUUUCCUUGUGAAGAUGCGAUAUUUUAGCUUCUUCGACAAUGACGGCAUAUUAGACUGGUUCUUCGACCCUGAUCUCUGCAAGCUUGCUUGCGUGAAUGACUACCAGCGUCUAGUCCCUCGGAAGCAUAGUGCUUAUGAGUACGCUGGUUGGGUUGUGUACCGCGGUUACCUCCAUAGCUACGAGAUGCAACAUGAAUACAUCGAGUACUUCGAAACAUUAUUAAGGGAACUUAAGUGGUUGAAAGAUUGUCUACCGAGCAAGUUUUCACCUCUUACUGUAGGCAAGAUACGCACCAGAGGAAUUUAUCAAGCAACUAAGAUCGCCACUCGCUUUUCCAAGAUCACAACUCAUUUAGCUCGUAUUGGCUUCCGUGAUUGUUUUAACUACAUGAGCAUUGAGGCUACUUGGUGUAACGGGUCCGAUGGUCUCUAUUUCGAGAUUUGGAAGCGGGUCACUCAACAGAAGGAGAGUUUCAGAGAUAGCUUGAAGGAAGUCUAUAAGCUGAACAAGUGUCCAUCACUACAAGAUAGCAUAAAAUAUGCCAUGGAGCAUGACUGUUCCAUGAUGGAAACGGCGUUUCUUCGUUGCACGGUAGGGGCAGGCAUUACAAAGGAAGUACCAGAGGAUAAAGCUCAGGAGUUGAUUGCAGAGGCAGUUGAAAAGCUGAGGAUAAAACCCAAAUUCUAUGAUGGGUAUAUCAGAAAGAAGAUCGACAUUGCCAAAGCUAUAGGAAUGAUUACUGAGGAUAGUUCCACAGAUACUUUGAAGGACGAUUAUAAGCUGAACAAGUGUCCGUCAUUCCAACAUAGCAUAAAAUAUGCCUUAGAGGAGGACUGUUCUGUGAGGGAAUGGAUGGUAUCAGAGGAUAAAGCUCAGGAGUUGAUUGCAGAGGCAGUUAAAAAGCCGAGGAUAAAACCCGAAUUCUGUGAUGAUAUCAGUGAGAAGAUAGAAAUUGCCAAACCUGUCGGAACGAUCACUGUGGAAUGA
Molecule: ribosomal RNA, 2484 nt
Filed under: Triticum aestivum (bread wheat)
Lineage: Eukaryota; Viridiplantae; Streptophyta; Magnoliopsida; Poales; Poaceae
Description: partial small subunit ribosomal RNA
Source: RNAcentral